CGUGGAUGUCUGAUGACAUCGGGGGUGCCCUCCCAGCUCUCUGCGCUUCCCCUUCCCGGCUCCAAAUCCCUUUGUUCUCUGCCUUAUCGCCCAGCCAUGGGGCGGGGGCUGGGAUAGGGCUCCGAGGGCCCCGGGCUUGGUUUGAUAGGGGUUGCAGCCACCCCCGGUUUCCCCAAGGAGCCGUUAAUGCGAACGCUUGCUGUGACAGCAGAGGGUGGGCGGUGUCGCUGUGGGGCGGCGAUCCCCCCCUGGUGAGGCCACAUUUACCACCCUGUGCCCGACGCUGGGCUUCCCCAGUGCAAAACGCACCGCGGCAUCCCGGAAGGAGCCCGGCGGAGGGACGCAAAGAUACACAGAGCAUCUCCCGGCGAGGGAAGGCUGAGCGACCCGGCUCUGUUCGGCCUGGGGCAAAGAAGCCCGAAGCGAUGCGAGCAGUGUUGGUGACCGCCCGAAGGCCCGAAGCACGCGGCGCUGCCCGCAGCCGCAGCCUCCCAACGCCGUGCCCGGCGGCUGCCGUGCGCAUGCGCCGUGCCCGCCGCGUGGCACAACGGGCAGCGCCGCCCCGCGCCGCAGCCAUGGCGGUGGGGCUGCGGGUGCUGCUGCUGCUGCCGCUGCUGCCGCCCGGCGGUGAGGGGCAGCCCGGCCGUGCUGAGGGAGGGCCGUUUUGCGUGGGCCGUGGCGGUGUUCCGCGGCCCGGCGCUGUUAGGCGGGGGUAGCGUCUGCUGGCGGAGCUCUUGGUUUUGUUUGCGGCUCCGUUACUGGGUCGUGGUUCCUGCAGGACGGCUGGGGAGGGGCUCCUCAUAAGGGCGGAUAGCGGCAGCAUGAGGGGAAACGGCUUCGAACGGAAAGAGGGUCGCUUUAGAGCAGAGAUCGGGAGGAAAGGCUUCACAGUGAGUGUCCGGGACGGCCCCAUCCAGGCCAGGAGUAACCUCUGCUGCUACAGCAAAGGAUGACAGCCUGGGGCACCUGCUGGCUGUUCUGCACCACGCUGCACGAGGAGCUCAGCGCUCAGCGGGAGCAGCCAACCCCAGCAAUGCCACCGCUGCUCCUUGGCUGGAAGCAUGCAGGAGGCGUGCUGGAAAGCAAAAAGAACUGGUGAGGGGCACGGCGGCGAGGAGACCCUCUGUGCCAGCAGUGCCAUCCCGUGUGCCCCAGCCACGUGUUUCCAUUGCUUUGUGUGGCUUUGAGUCCUCACAGCUGGCAGCAGCCAUGGCAGAGCUGGCAUCAGCAUUCCGGACUGGGGGUGCAAGAAGGGAGAAUGACAUUCUUGAUCAGUUAACGAAUGGAUUCGAUGCCAUCUUUAAAGAGUGUUCUUGAAGAAGCCACGCUAAAAAUCACAUUUAAGCUCCAAAACUCCAAACCUCCUGCAGAAUGACGGAGAGGGUUGCGCGAGGAAAGCUCAGUGGGCUUCUCCAAACGGCAGUGGUUCCUAUGGGCAUACAGGAGGUGGCCACCCAAGGCAGUCCCAUGUAGAGUAUUAUCAGUUACACUCAAUGUUCUGUGCUGACGUGGUGAUAAUAAAUUGGCUCCAGCAAUUUUUUUGUGGUGGUUUUGAGUUCCUUACCCAGGACAUCCUCCUCCAUCAGGAUGGAUUCAUACCGUGGUUAUGUUUAAAGUUUGGCACGUUGGGUUAAAAUGUUUCCUUAGAGCUUUUUCUCCUCCUGCCCAAUGGAGGCCAGCAGUCCGUGCUCCUGCCGUGGGUCACCGAGGCUGCGGAGCAGGAAAGGAAGGAACAGCGAUUGCAUUUUGAAUACAGAACCAAUGGUGUGCAGUGCAUUGGGCCAACGGUUGGAUCACUGCCUUCAGAGAACCAAAUGUGCCCUUCGGAGUAUUUCGAUGGGGAUCCGUAAGGCAGUUCUGAAUGAGGAGGCAAUUAUGGGAACGUCACAGCCAGAUGCUCCUCAGUGCUUCUGUUGAAAUCCAUUUUUGUUUUGAGGUGAAAGGCUCCAGCAGG
RNAcentral lists this long non-coding RNA (1954 nucleotides) under Gallus gallus (chicken). Lineage: Eukaryota; Metazoa; Chordata; Aves; Galliformes; Phasianidae. The record is from RNAcentral.